CAAUGAAACACUGGAAUGACUGUGGGAGGAUGCUGGGGGGGGGGCAGUCCAUUACCUUGCUAGGCCCCAUUUGACCAUGAUCCGGCUCUGAAGUGAACUCUUUGUUUUUUCCUCUUGUAGGCAUUAGUGUCUCCAUGCAUGAAAAGUGGUACAUGACUGAAGGAAACUCAGAAGGAACUACAAACCAGACCAGAGAGAACCAUGAUUAUUUUUAAAAUUAACAGCAGCCUUCCACUUGUACAGUAGUACAAUGCAGUAGAGAGUUUUACAGUGGAAAAGUUUUUUUUUUUUUUUUUAACUGAACCUGAUGAAUUGGAUUAAAUUCAGCCAGGGCGUUGUGGACUACUGGACUGAAGAAAGUCUCAGUGUGACAAUGGAUGAACUGUUACAAAUGGAGCUUCAAGGCAACAAAGCACAUAAUGACACUGGACAGGAUACUGAUACACUUUGACCUUAUAAUGUCUAGAUAAUACUCAAUGACAAUUUUCAACUAACCAAAUCCUUAUUUUUAUUCAAUUCUCCUAUACCAAGAAGCGUUCCGAAAAAAAAAAAACAUCAGUAUUAUGGACAUUAUUAACUAUAGCUUGAAAAAUCAUUACUCUUCAUUGGAAAAGUCAAACCUCUCCUUCCUUCGAGGAAUUUAAAAGUCUUGCCUUAACAGUUGGUCGUAUGGAAGUUUCAACUAUGAAGAACAGAACCAGCAGAACUACUUCAUACAACAACACAUGGAUGACAACAAUAGAGAAAAUAGAUGUUUACUUAAAAUGAUAGUUAUUACAAAGUUCACAUUGUAUUAAACUGUGUAGACACCAAUGUAAAUAGUUUCAUAAAGUUAUAAAGUUGUAUUGUUAUAAGAUUGUAUUACAUUAUAUAUUUUUUCUUUGAUGGAUGUUACUAUAAACAAAAUUU
This is a long non-coding RNA of Protopterus annectens (West African lungfish), 909 nucleotides long. RefSeq lists it as uncharacterized. The record is from RefSeq and is a predicted model, not a curated record. NCBI's taxonomy places the organism in Eukaryota, Metazoa, Chordata, Ceratodontiformes, Protopteridae. The transcript has 3 exons.